UUGCAACAGUGGCACAGAAAAAUGAAGGCCACAGAUAUGUGCAUGAGGUUCAUGAAUCAAUGGGGCUCUCACCAGGCAAUUUUACCAUAAAGCGUGCUACCUUCAUGGAUAAGAUCAGAAGAAAGUACAGUAAAUUACAGAAGACGAGGAAAUAUAAAAGGAGAAGAAUUGAGCUUAAGUCGGAGAAAUGUAACAGCAAUGGUAUAGCAGAAGUUCUAGAGGGAACAACUUAUGAAACCAAUAUUGCUCGUCAGUCAGAUAUUGUACAGAUAGCAGCUUUAACUGAGAAUGAAACUUUCUCAGCCUAUGUUAUGCCAUCAAAGAAGAUAACACCACAGGCAUCUGAUAUAACAAAACUUGCAUUCUUUGAUGGGCAAAUGUAAUAUGAUGAAGUUCCUGUGGAAAGUUCACCACCAUUUGAAGUCUUUACUAAUCUUAUUGCUUUUUUGUCCAAGUUUCCUUCUAAACCAACACUUGUUGGACACAAUAUAAAAACGUUUGACUGCCAUAUACUGUAUAAUCAAUUGAAUAAAUUGAAGAUGUGGGAUGAAUUUUGCCUGUAUUUUAAUGGGUUCAUUGACACAAGAAUAUUGUUUAGGAGUGAAUAUCCAGGUCGUCAAAGUUACAAGCAGUGUGAUUUAGUGUCAGAUUUUUUAGGGGAAAGCUAUGAUGCACAUAAUGCUUUGUAUGACUGUAAAUCUUUAUUUAAACUGGUGCGAUCACAUGGAAAUUUAGCUUCUCAUUUCUGUUAGUAUACAUUUGAUGGAAUGUACCCAAAAUAUUGCCAAAAUGACUUAUCUUUCAAAGCUCUUGUUGAAAAUAAAGUAAUGUCAAAACAAUUAGCCAAAAAGGCAGCUUCAACUGGGUUGUGCAAGAAGCAUUUUAUUUUGUCAAUUCAAAGAAAUGGUAUUGAUGGACUGAGGGCACUUUUGUCUCAAAAAAAUAGUUCAGGUGUAGUACGUGUUACAACAUCAAAAUCUAUCAUUCAGAAGGUGUAUGAUUGUUUUGUUAUAUGAAAUGAAGAGUAAAUUGUUUUAGAUUCCAUAUGAAUCUGAUUAUAUAUACAUUGUAGAAUUUAAAUGGAACAAUUAUGGUGAAUGCUACUAGAGAUUAACGGAAAUUUUAAUCUACAGACAUACUUGCUUCUGUGACCAAGCUUCUAUUAUAUCUAUUAGCAAUAAUUGUUAUUAUCAAAGAAACCUAUUUCUUAGGAUGCUAAAUCUUUGACCUUAUGGAGAAUCAGGUCAAUAUAUAUAAUAUAAAGAUUUAAAUACUACAUUGCACCAUAAAUGUUAAAGUUAAUAUUUGUUUGUGAGCUAAAUUUUUGGAUAAGAGAUUAGAAAAUUUUGACUGGUCCUGUAGUCUACUACGCAUACCUUAUUUUUUAGCAAUUUGAUUGAUCCGUCCAUGCUGAAUGUCAGGAAAUAGAAUUUAAGUAGUAAAAUUUUUUAUAAAAUUUUAUAAUGUUGUCUAUAGUUCUUUAAUUGUAUGAAGGAUUUAAAGUCAAAGAUGACAUUUUGUUUUACCACAGUAAGAAUGAUCAUAUUGUGUACCACACAUAUGUUGUGUGAUCCAUAUUAGUGAAUGUAAUUUGUUAGACUUGAAAAAGACCACUUAAACUUAUAUCUACCUGAUAUAUAGUUUAUAACAUGUUUAUAGUUUGUACUGUCAUUGUAUAAUAUCACUACUUAUUUAAGGAUUUGUGAGCUGUUGCCAUCAGUUUGUGUCAAUUUUUGUCUUCUGUUCACAUUUCAUAUCUUAAUUUAGGAGGCAAAUUUCAAUUAAUUAAAAAUGGAAUAUUCUAUCUUGUUACGACACUUGUUGGUAAAAUUUUAUCCAAAAUUAACAUGAUUAUUAACGAAAUUUGUAAAAUAGAUAUUUUUUCAGAAUGAUACUAUUAAAUAAUGACUUGUGAGAAUGAUUUGUUAUAAAAAAAAUGUUUUAAAGAAAAUUUAUAGAAAAAUUAUAUGAGAAAAUACAUGUUCAUGUGAGUAUCUGGUUUGUUAUUUGACCAAGCUUGUACAUGAAGGGUUAUGAUGUAGUACUGUUCUUGCAUAUAUGUCUGUUAAUAUGUGCUGGAAUUUAUUUUGCCUUUUGUCAUUUUAUCAAAUAAAGAAUUCAAACACUAUGCAAAGAUCAAUAAGAGUUGAUGUGGUUUAAAUUUUAUACAGGUUGCAAAUAUUUUUCUUUUCAUUAACAAGUUUUGUCAGAUUUAUCUUGACUGAUGGUUUUUAAAUUUACUGUUCCUACUGACAUUUUAGUUUUCAAUAUGUAAUACAAUAAGUGUUUGUAACAACUGUGAUAAAAAAAAUUACGUGACAGAUAAUGAAAAUUGCAAAUGUUAAUUUGGAUUCAAACAUUAUAUAUUCAUAUAUAUAUAUAUAUAUAUAUAUAUAUAUAUAUAUAUUUACAAUAUGAUACAUAAUGGACUAAAUUACCAGUCUAUUAAUUAAUAAAAAUUGCUUAUAGUUCA
Molecule: long non-coding RNA, 2473 nt
Organism: Mytilus californianus (California mussel)
Lineage: Eukaryota; Metazoa; Mollusca; Bivalvia; Mytilida; Mytilidae
Exons: 3
Source: RefSeq, a predicted model, not a curated record